GUAUCGUGUUAUUCUCUAAAGAAGUGUCAUUAAAUAGCUAUUUUAUCCAACAGGUAGCUCCUUGAACAAGGAAGCAAAAUUUAUUCACAUUCAAGAUUAUCUGAUUUUUAUAACUAAAAUCAACAAAACAUGUAUCUCUGAGGCCUCCUAGUAACAAGAAGAGUAAGGGGUCAGUGUGGUGUAUUCCAAUUAUACCAUUGUUUCCUGCUUCCAGUAGUUCCUGGAGUAGCCAAAAUCAAAUAUUUCUUAUGGAAAUAUUCCCAAUGCAUCUGAAGUGAGUUCAC
This 284-nucleotide long non-coding RNA is filed under the name Homo sapiens (human). RNAcentral's name for it is "HSALNT0036063". Lineage: Eukaryota; Metazoa; Chordata; Mammalia; Primates; Hominidae. The record is from RNAcentral.